CCUACGGGUGGCAGCAGUCGAGAAUCAUUCACAAUGGGGGAAACCCUGAUGGUGCGACGCCGCGUGGGGGAAUGAAGUUCUUCGGAUUGUAAACCCCUGUCAUGUGGGAGCAAAUUAAAAAGGUAGUACCACAAGAGGAAGAGACGGCUAACUCUGUGCCAGCAGCCGCGGUAAUACAGAGGUCUCAAGCGUUGUUCGGAAUCACUGGGCGUAAAGCGUGCGUAGGCGGUUUCGUAAGUCGUGUGUGAAAGGCGCGGGCUCAACCCGCGGACGGCACAUGAUACUGCGAGACUAGAGUAAGGGAGGGGGAACCGGAAUUCUCGGUGUAGCAGUGAAAUGCGUAGAUAUCGAGAGGAACACUCGUGGCGAAGGCGGGUUCCUGGACAUUAACUGACGCUGAGGCACGAAGGCCAGGGGAGCGAAAGGGAUUAGAUACCCUAGUAGUC
Molecule: ribosomal RNA, 446 nt
Filed under: uncultured bacterium
Lineage: Bacteria
Description: partial 16S ribosomal RNA
Rfam family: Bacterial small subunit ribosomal RNA
Source: RNAcentral